This 447-nucleotide ribosomal RNA is filed under the name uncultured bacterium. Its description in RNAcentral is "bacterial SSU rRNA". It matches the Rfam family "Bacterial small subunit ribosomal RNA", at positions 355 to 821 of the family's 1533-position model. The record is from RNAcentral.
UCAAGAAACUUCCACAAUGGGCGAAAGCCUGAUGGAGCGACGUCGCGUGAUGGACGAAGUGCUUCGGCACGUAAACAUCUUUUAUGUGGGAUGAAAUUAUUGACAGUACCACAUGAAUAAGGGGCUCCUAACUCUGUGCCAGCAGGAGCGGUAAUACAGAGGCCCCAAGCGUUAUCCGGAAUCACUGGGCGUAAAGGGUGUCGAGGCGGUUGUAUUAGUCGUUCGUAAAAUCUACGAGCUUAACUUGUAGGCGGCGAACGAAACGGUACGACUUGAGGUUUGGAGAGGUGCGUGGAACUCACGGUGUAGGGGUGAAAUCCGUUGAUAUCGUGGGGAACACCAAAGGCGAAGGCAGCGCACUGGCCAAAAUCUGACGCUCACACACGAAAAGCUAGGGUAGCGAAGAGGAUUAGAUACCCCCGUAGUCCCUGAGCGGGCUGGCAAGGC